UACGUAGGGUGCAAGCGUUGUCCGGAAUCACUGGGCUUAAAGCGCGUGUAGGCGGGACGGCACGUCGGUCGCUGAAAGCCCCCGGCUCAACCGGGGAACGGGCGCCGAUACGACCGUCCUGGAGGGACGUAGGGGGACCUGGAACUUCCGGUGGAGCGGUGAAAUGCGUUGAGAUCGGAAGGAACGCCCGUGGCGAAAGCGAGGUCCUGGACGUUUUCUGACGCUGAGACGCGAAAGCCAGGGGAGCGAACAGG
Molecule: ribosomal RNA, 254 nt
Filed under: uncultured bacterium
Lineage: Bacteria
Description: partial 16S ribosomal RNA
Rfam family: Bacterial small subunit ribosomal RNA
Source: RNAcentral